Long non-coding RNA from Gymnogyps californianus (California condor), 1415 nucleotides. RefSeq lists it as uncharacterized. The record is from RefSeq and is a predicted model, not a curated record. NCBI's taxonomy places the organism in Eukaryota, Metazoa, Chordata, Aves, Accipitriformes, Cathartidae. The transcript has 3 exons.
UUUCUUACUGAGGCAUUUUGAAGAAAACAGCUUUUUGGAGGUGUCAGAGUAAAGAAUUGGGAGCUGUUCUUUAAUGGGAAAAGGUGUUUGCAAGCAAGUGGAAAAGCGCUAUUUCUACAUCCAAGGAGGACACGCUGCUAUUAUUUACCAGACAACAUGGAUUUAGCUAAGCUUCGUGGAAUUUUGCAGUCACUGACACACGUAUCAGAUACGGGCAGAGCAAGGAUGGAAAUAAUGUGAAGGCAAACUGUUCAGUUCAAGCCAAAAAGACUAAUGGAAGUAGUAAAAAUAGUAAAGAUAUGAAAGCAAGAACUACUGAAAUAAAUAUCUGAGAUGGGAACUUGCAGGAAAGGUUCACUGCAGCUGCAGACGCGCCUAGCUGAGUGUCAGCCUGGGUUAAUUUGCAAGGUGACAGACGUCUUGGGAACGGGCAAGUGCUGAAGAAAUGAGCUGGUGUCCCUGGGCCAGGUCUGCUCAUGGAGCUGAGCCACUCUCAGGUGUCCUUGGAGCAUCACUGAUUUACUGCAGCUGUGGCUUUGGCACUUGCCUUUAAAGAUGAUUAUGCAAUCCUACACCUUUUUAAUCUUUGGAAAUGCAAAAAGCCUCAACGCCCUCCUGGCAGCACAUAUACAAUUUUGAUUGACUGACCCUAUACCGCUUGAUCUGCUUCAUCCAGUUCAGCUGGUCUUGUCUCACCUCUGGCUCUUCCUUUGAGCCCAAUUUUCCCUUGAUUGGCUGUAACCACCUCUUGCUGGCCUUCUUGGUGCUCCUGCCAGCCACCAUGCCCAGGUGUCUCUGGUUCCCCCAGCUCCUCCUCCACCAGGACUGCUCCUAAAUACCCACCCAGGCUACCCUGAGAUGUGAUUUCACUGUCUCCUUGCUGUGACUGGCGGAACCUCAAGGAUGUCCCCAACUGUUGUAGCAUCCCCCACGCAAGGACAGAGCAGCAAAGUGGUCCCCACACCCUAAACUUGACUCUGAGUUUGCAGGAGUUUUCCAGCCCUGCUUCACUUCAGGUUGGAGCUCGCCCAGUGCUUGUGCAAAGCAGCGAUCACAAAGCCAAAGUCUGGGGAAGCUGUGGGUUGGGUGCGCGGAGGCACUUUGAGCUCUCGUGCAGCAGGGAUGUCCGAGAGGCACUGCAUCUCACCGCUCUGCCCCGGGAGAGCAGCCAGGGCAAACUGCUCCUUUCGUACCUCUGCACUGUCACAUCGGAAAGAAAAUUGGAAGUGACAGUUAUUGCCGUUUCCCAUCCUUGCUCACCAGGGCUUGGCAGGGAGACGGCGCUCGCUGUUACAGCCAAGCCUGCCAUCUCCUGACCCAGCAGCUUUGGUGGGAAAACUCGGAGGGAAGGAUGUUGGAUCCUGCUUCACUAAUUUUCCGUUAAUAAAGUUUCUUGCUUUUGUUUUUGUGUCUAA